AUACUUACCUAGACUAGGUCAAUGGAUGAUCAAGAAGGCUCAUGGCCUAGGAAAGUGACCUCCAUUGAACUUAAGAUGGGUAUUUUCCUAAGGUCUUCCCAAGUGGUGGUGCUUACGUCAUAAUUUGUGACUGUGGGGGUUUGUGUUCACGCGACCUCUCU
Molecule: non-coding RNA, 161 nt
Organism: Lupinus albus (white lupine)
Lineage: Eukaryota; Viridiplantae; Streptophyta; Magnoliopsida; Fabales; Fabaceae
Source: the annotation of a GenBank genome assembly